RNAcentral lists this ribosomal RNA (448 nucleotides) under Epeirotypus chavarria. RNAcentral's name for it is "partial 16S ribosomal RNA". Lineage: Eukaryota; Metazoa; Arthropoda; Arachnida; Araneae; Theridiosomatidae. The record is from RNAcentral.
CUCUUACAGCAAUUAUUGUAAGUAAAGCCUGCUCCAUGAARCCACUCAUUUAAAUAGCCGCAGUCYCCUGUGCUAAGGUAGCAUAAUCACUUGGCYUCUAAUUAAAGUCUAGAAUGAAAGGCUCAAUACUUUAAAGCCUUUAUUUUUUAUAUCAUGUUAAUUUUGACUAAAAAUAAAAAUAUUUUUUUWWAAAAAAAAGACGAUAAGACCCUAUUGAACUAAACUUUUGUUCAACUGGGGAAGUUAAAUAAUUAUACUUUUAUUUUAAAUARACGCUUAGAAGACCCAAUAAAAUUGAAAAUUUGAAUAAGUUACCAUAGGGAUAACAGCGUAAUAAAUUUCUAUAGCUCUUAUAUCAAAAUUUGAUUACGACCUCGAUGUUGAAUUAUUUUAACUUUUUAAUGCAAUAAUUUUAAAAGUAAGUCUGUUCGACUUGUAAAAAUUUACA